CGAUUACUGCCCGGAAAAUAUAUUUAAUGUUAAAUCGGUCGAAAAACCUAUAAGAGUAAAUAAAUUUAGUACUUUUUCUUCUUUUUUAGGAAUUUAAUAUUUAUUUAGCUAUGGACAUAAGUUUAUAUUCACUGCGUAUUUUCAUAUAAUUGAUUAAAAUUUUUAAUAUCUUUUAAAACUGAUUUAUAAAUGCAUCCAUAUCGUCCUAAAAUGUAAUGUAACUCUCAC
Molecule: non-coding RNA, 228 nt
Organism: Cinara cedri
Lineage: Eukaryota; Metazoa; Arthropoda; Insecta; Hemiptera; Aphididae
Source: the annotation of a GenBank genome assembly